AUUGGCAAAGAAUGUCUUACGCUCCUAUAUCCAGCAUGUUUCCCGCUUAGUUCAGAGUACUUCAUCCCUCCAGUCUAGCUGCUAAACUACCCCCAGAAGAAUCCUUCAAAGAGAGACAAGCUAGUUGUAAGAGACUGAGGAAUUUUGAAGGUGAGGACUCUGGAGGCCACAGGAUGAAGCAGAAGAGACCGAAAAUGCACACCGCCUGGAUCCUUGAGUCACCAUGGAGCACAAAAAAGUUGCCUGAUCUGUAUUCAUCUUUACAUGAGCAAGAAAUAAACAUUUGCUCAACAUCAGGGAAGCAGGUCCUACUUCAUAAUGUGAGUGAGCCUCCUCUAAUCAGUUGAAGACCACAAGAGAAAAGACUGAAGUGUCCAAAAGAAGAAAUUCUGCCUCCAGACUACCUUUGGACUUAAGACUGCAACGUCAUCUCUUCUCUAGGUCUCCAGUGUGCUGAUCAACCCUGCAGAUUUCAGACUUCCCAACCCACAAUGCUGUGAGCCAUAUCCUUAAAAUGAAUCUCUCUUUCUGUACAUAUAUAUGUCAUUCAUUCUGUUUCUCUAAAGAACCCUGACUAAAUUACAUUUCGGUGGAGAAUGUAACAAUCUAAAUAUGAUCAAUUGUUAUAGAACAUAUAUCUGACAGUUUGUGAAUGUAAUAAAUUCUAAA
Molecule: long non-coding RNA, 669 nt
Organism: Pteronotus mesoamericanus
Lineage: Eukaryota; Metazoa; Chordata; Mammalia; Chiroptera; Mormoopidae
Exons: 3
Source: RefSeq, a predicted model, not a curated record